GACGAACGCUGGCGGCGUGCUUAACACAUGCAAGUCGAACGGAAAGGCCCUGCUUUUGUGGGGUGCUCGAGUGGCGAACGGGUGAGUAACACGUGAGUAACCUGCCCUUGACUUUGGGAUAACUUCAGGAAACUGGGGCUAAUACCGGAUAGGAGCUCCUGCUGCAUGGUGGGGGUUGGAAAGUUUCGGCGGUUGGGGAUGGACUCGCGGCUUAUCAGCUUGUUGGUGGGGUAGUGGCUUACCAAGGCUUUGACGGGUAGCCGGCCUGAGAGGGUGAGCGGCCACAUUGGGACUGAGAUACGGCCCAGACUCCUACGGGAGGCAGCAGUGGGGAAUAUUGCACAAUGGGCGGAAGCCUGAUGCAGCAACGCCGCGUGCGGGAUGACGGCCUUCGGGUUGUAAACCGCUUUCGCCUGUGACGAAGCGUGAGUGACGGUAAUGGGUAAAGAAGCACCGGCUAACUACGUGC
Molecule: ribosomal RNA, 469 nt
Filed under: uncultured bacterium
Lineage: Bacteria
Description: partial 16S ribosomal RNA
Rfam family: Bacterial small subunit ribosomal RNA
Source: RNAcentral